RNAcentral lists this ribosomal RNA (438 nucleotides) under uncultured bacterium. RNAcentral describes it as "partial 16S ribosomal RNA". It matches the Rfam family "Bacterial small subunit ribosomal RNA", at positions 339 to 795 of the family's 1533-position model. The record is from RNAcentral.
CUACGGGGCGCAGCAGUGAGGAAUAUUGCACAAUGGGGGGAACCCUGAUGCAGCAACGCCGCGUGGAGGAUGACGCAUUUCGGUGUGUAAACUCCUUUUAUAUGUCAAGAAAAUGACGGUAGCAUAUGAAUAAGCACCGGCUAACUCCGUGCCAGCAGCCGCGGUAAUACGGAGGGUGCAAGCGUUACUCGGAAUCACUGGCGUAAAGGACGCGUAGGCGGGUUGGAAAGUCAGGUGUGAAAUCCUACAGCUUAACUGUAGAACUGCACUUGAAACUUCUAAUCUAGAGUAUGGGAGGGGGAGAUGGAAUUAGUGGUGUAGGGGUAAAAUCCGUAGAUAUCACUAGGAAUACCUAAAGCGAAGGCGAUCUCCUGGAACAUUACUGACGCUAAGACGUGAAAGCGUGGGGAGCAAACAGGAUUAGAUACCCCCGUAGUC